AGAAUCAACGCUGGCGGCGUGCCUCAGACAUGCAAGUCGAACGAUUAAAGCUCUCUUCGGAGAGUGUAUAGAGUGGCGCACGGAUGAGUAACACGUAAGUAAUCUACCUUUGAGUGGGGAAUAACCCGGGGAAACCCGAGCUAAUACCGCAUAAUGCAGCGGCAUCGCAAGAUGACAGUUGUUAAAGGAGCAAUCCGCUUAAAGAGGAGCUUGCGGCAGAUUAGCUAGUUGGUAAGGUAAUGGCUUACAAGGCUACGAUCUGUAUCCGGUCUAAGAGGACGGUCGGACACACUGACACUGAAUAACGGGUCAGACUCCUACGGGAGCAGCAGUCGGUAAUUUGGGCAAGUGGGACGAAAGCCUGACCCAGCAACGCCGCGUAGAAGGAUGAAGUAGUUUACGGAUUAGUAAACUUACGAAAGAAUAAGGAAGUAAUAAAUAGAACGGUACUAGUUUA
This 457-nucleotide ribosomal RNA is filed under the name uncultured soil bacterium. RNAcentral describes it as "bacterial SSU rRNA". It matches the Rfam family "Bacterial small subunit ribosomal RNA", at positions 26 to 485 of the family's 1533-position model. The record is from RNAcentral.